This 239-nucleotide long non-coding RNA is filed under the name Vigna radiata. RNAcentral describes it as "long non-coding RNA (VRAD_LNC008395)". The record is from RNAcentral. Lineage: Eukaryota; Viridiplantae; Streptophyta; Magnoliopsida; Fabales; Fabaceae.
AAGAACACAAAAUAAACAUGCAAAUGCGAUUGAUUCAAUUGACGAGAAAAAGACUAUGGGUGAAUGAAGUUGUUGGGGGUUUACAAUUUCAUCUUAUCCGAUCUCUCUUAUCUAAUCCUCUUGUUUAAUUUGCUUUGUUAUCUAAUUGUCAUGCAAACUUUCUUUGUCUACCCUUAACCCGAUCCCUCGGCAAAAAGAGCCUAUUACUAAUUACUGGCUUGCUAUCCCUAGCCUCCCCU